GACGUAGGGUGCAAGCGUUGUCCGGAAUUAUUGGGCGUAAAGAGCUCGUAGGCGGUUUGUUGCGUCGGCUGUGAAAUCCCGAGGCUCAACCUCGGGUCUGCAGUCGAUACGAGCAAACUAGAGUGUUGCAGGGGGGACUGGAAUUCCUGGUGUAGCGGUGAAAUGCGCAGAUAUCAGGAGGAACACCGGUGGCGAAGGCGGGUCUCUGGGCAACAACUGACGCUGAGGAGCGAAAGCGUGGGGAGCGAACAGG
This 253-nucleotide ribosomal RNA is filed under the name uncultured bacterium. RNAcentral describes it as "partial 16S ribosomal RNA". It matches the Rfam family "Bacterial small subunit ribosomal RNA", at positions 524 to 776 of the family's 1533-position model. The record is from RNAcentral.